GUGAAUCAUCGAAUUUUUGAACGCAAAUUGCACUCUUCGGUUUUCCGGGAGAGUAUGCCUGUUUGAGGUUCAGCUUAAAAAAAAUCGACAUUGUUGCUGUUAUUUAAUGGUGACUUUCGUCGGUGAUUGUGUUAUCUUAAACCUUUUUUUUUUUUUGUUUUAUUCGACUUAAAUUUUUUCUUCACGAUUCCAUGUCUGUUUCUAAGUUUUUAUUUUUUUUUACGUUUAAGGUUUAUGGAUCUUUUAUUAAUCGUGACCGUCGUUGCG
This 267-nucleotide unclassified non-coding RNA is filed under the name Glomeraceae sp. Its description in RNAcentral is "partial contains 5.8S ribosomal RNA and internal transcribed spacer 2". The stretch from base 1 to 72 matches the Rfam family "5.8S ribosomal RNA", at positions 84 to 154 of the family's 154-position model. Lineage: Eukaryota; Fungi; Glomeromycota; Glomeromycetes; Glomerales; Glomeraceae. The record is from RNAcentral.